Ictalurus punctatus (channel catfish) is the source of this 602-nucleotide long non-coding RNA. The record is from Ensembl. NCBI's taxonomy places the organism in Eukaryota, Metazoa, Chordata, Actinopteri, Siluriformes, Ictaluridae.
UGAUGCUCAGGACUCAACAAUGCAGCACCUCCACCAGACCUCUAUCUGCAUCCAUGCUGGAGGGGACUCCUCAGAGAGGAUAUGCAGAGCUCUGAGUGCAGAAGAAUCAAUUGCAGUAAGCUCCAAACAGGUACGAGAGGUCCUAAGAACUGAAUUGUCCACAUCAGUGCCAGUGACCAGCCCGUCCAGUGCUAUGGAGACAAACUACAGUCAAGCGGCUCCCUAUGUCAGAGGCUAAGGGAAUGGAGAACAGAAACAGCAGCUGGCCACAGAAGUUAUGCCCUCACAUGAAAGUGCACCCCAAACAGCCUCUCCUCAUUCCAGCUUGAGAUCAAUCAUGAAGCAUAAGGCAGACAAAGAACCACGCUCUGCUUCAACCCAGAAGAAUCUGCAGUUCAUAGGAGUGAAUGGAGGGUAUGAGUCCACCUCAUCAGAGAGCAGUUCUGAGACUUCAGAUGAUGAGAGUGAUGCAAGUGAAUAUCAUGAAGCCACAGAGAAACUACCGGAAUCCUCCAGCUCAUCACACCUCAGGCCCCUCUGUUAGCACCUCUGCCGUUUCUAUACCUGUAAUUCCCAAAUCUUCAGAGACAGCAAAUGUCCAC